ACUGAAGGAAUAUCCAAGAGGCAUUUGCAGACACUUGUGACAUCACAGGAGAAGCUAGGGCUCUCCAGGAUACAAGAGAUUUUUCAUGGAGGGCCUAAUGAUGAAUGUCUCUGAGAACUGCCAUGGCCUACCUGUAAACAGCUUUCUUUACAUUGACCAGUUUCAAGAGUGCCUUUCCAGGUCUCCAGUCUUUCCAAUUCUCCUCCAAAUGUGUUGGAGAAGACCCCUCUGGUCGAGGGGAGGUACAACAAGCCCCAUCAAACAAAAUGGUCUCCACAUCUUCUUCUCUUAAAGUCUUGACCUAGAUGCGCAGAAUUCAUGUUAAAAUUCCAGCUAAAAUUAUAGCUGUAGGAGCCAACAAAAGUACAUAUAUAUACAUCAGCCACCGAAACUACACAAGAUUGAUGGAGAUUUUAAAAAAAGAUUACAAGAGCUGAAGGGCUUUAACACUACAAGAACAACAAUGCCAAUGAACCAGAGCUUUCUGAUACUAGAACAAUAUUCAAAGAAUGUACAUGGACAGAGCUAUGGCUCCAACUGCAUAUGUGGAAGAGAAUAGACUUUGUGGGCACCAAUGGAAGGAGAAGUCCUUGGUCCUCCCUAGGUUUGACUCCAAGUUCAAGGUAAUGUCAAGGGGUAAUAAGGAGGGUUAUAGCAGAAGGGCAGGGUAACGAGUAAAUGAUCUUUUAGGCAGGAAACUGGGAAAGGAAAUAACAUUUUAAAUGAAAAUAUAGAAACAUCCAGUUAAAAAAAGCAAUAAAAUUUGCUAAAAAAUGAAAGACAUAAAAUAAAAGUAAACUGCCAACUA
Non-coding RNA from Rattus norvegicus (Norway rat), 808 nucleotides. Lineage: Eukaryota; Metazoa; Chordata; Mammalia; Rodentia; Muridae. The record is from RefSeq and is a predicted model, not a curated record.